RNAcentral lists this ribosomal RNA (639 nucleotides) under uncultured fungus. RNAcentral describes it as "eukaryotic LSU rRNA". It matches the Rfam family "Eukaryotic large subunit ribosomal RNA", at positions 24 to 664 of the family's 3401-position model. The record is from RNAcentral. Lineage: Eukaryota; Fungi.
CCCGCUGAACUUAAGCAUAUCAAUAAGCGGAGGAAAAGAAACUAUACAAGGAUUCCCCUAGUAACGUCGAGUGAAGCGGGAUGAGCUCAAAUUUAGAAAUCUGGUAGCCUUUGGUUGCCCAAGUUGUAAUCUAGAGAAGCGUUUUCCGUGCUGGACUGUGUACAAGUUUCCUGGAUACGGAACAUCAUAGAGGGUGAGAAUCCCGUCCUUGACACAGACUCCCAGUGCUUUGUGAUGCUGCUCUCAACGAGUCGAGUUGUUUGGGAUUGCAGCUCAAAAUGGGAGGUAAAUCUCCUUCUAAAGCUAAAUAUUGGCGAGAGACCGAUAGCGAACAAGUACCGUGAGGGAAAGAUGAAAAGCACUUUGGAAAGAGAGUUAAACAGUACGUGAAAUUGUUAAAAGGGAAACGAUUGAAGUCAGUCGCGUCUACUUGGACUCAGCCUUACCUCGGUUUGGUGCAUUUCCUUGUGGACGGGCCAGUGUCCAUGUUGAUUGCUGGAAAAGGUUCAGGGGAAUGUGGCUCUUUUAGAGUGUUAUAGCCUCUGUUCAUAUACAGUAGUUGAUAUGGAGUGCAUACAGCAUGCUUCGGCGGUGCUUGUACUGGCAUAAUGGCUUUAAACGACCCGUCUUGAAACACGG